RNAcentral lists this ribosomal RNA (670 nucleotides) under Streptomyces sp. RNAcentral describes it as "bacterial SSU rRNA". It matches the Rfam family "Bacterial small subunit ribosomal RNA", at positions 331 to 1010 of the family's 1533-position model. Lineage: Bacteria; Bacillati; Actinomycetota; Actinomycetes; Kitasatosporales; Streptomycetaceae. The record is from RNAcentral.
UUUUACUCUUACCGGAGGCAGCAGUGGGGAAUAUUGCACAAUGGGCGCAAGCCUGAUGCAGCGACGCCGCGUGAGGGAUGACGGCCUUCGGGUUGUAAACCUCUUUCAGCAGGGAAGAAGCGAAAGUGACGGUACCUGCAGAAGAAGCGCCGGCUAACUACGUGCCAGCAGCCGCGGUAAUACGUAGGGCGCGAGCGUUGUCCGGAAUUAUUGGGCGUAAAGAGCUCGUAGGCGGCUUGUCGCGUCGGUUGUGAAAGCCCGGGGCUUAACCCCGGGUCUGCAGUCGAUACGGGCAGGCUAGAGUUCGGUAGGGGAGAUCGGAAUUCCUGGUGUAGCGGUGAAAUGCGCAGAUAUCAGGAGGAACCACCGGUGGCGAAGGCGGAUCUCUGGGCCGAUACUGACGCUGAGGAGCGAAAGCGUGGGGAGCGAACAGGAUUAGAUACCCUGGUAGUCCACGCCGUAAACGGUGGGCACUAGGUGUGGGCGACAUUCCACGUCGUCCGUGCCGCAGCUAACGCAUUAAGUGCCCCGCCUGGGGAGUACGGCCGCAAGGCUAAAACUCAAAGGAAUUGACGGGGGCCCGCACAAGCGGCGGAGCAUGUGGCUUAAUUCGACGCAACGCGAAGAACCUUACCAAGGCUUGACAUACACCGGAAAACCCUGAGACAAG